CCUGACGAACUGUUGCUGGAGUAACUGCAUACUCCUCCCCGUCAUAGGAAAACACAAUUGAUGGUGAUCCAUCUGCACCACCAUUGUCAUAUGUACCCGUCCUCCAAAAGCUGAUGAUUUGGCUUCCUGAAAGUCUUGCAGGAGCGGUGAGAGCUGUACCGAUGACACUUUGUGCCAAGAAUCGCUGAAAGGGAUGAUAAUCCCUUGGGGCUUCA
This 215-nucleotide long non-coding RNA is filed under the name Daucus carota (carrot). Its description in RNAcentral is "long non-coding RNA (DCAR_LNC004055)". The record is from RNAcentral. Lineage: Eukaryota; Viridiplantae; Streptophyta; Magnoliopsida; Apiales; Apiaceae.